This is a non-coding RNA of Bemisia tabaci, 3742 nucleotides long. NCBI's taxonomy places the organism in Eukaryota, Metazoa, Arthropoda, Insecta, Hemiptera, Aleyrodidae. The record is from RefSeq and is a predicted model, not a curated record.
UUUCCGAAUCCACAAUGUUGUUAUUACUUUUCACGAUCUUGUCAUCACUUUUCACAAUCUUGUCAGCAAAAGUUCUAAAGUUAGAAAUACCACACGAGCCCAAUUUUCUUGCCGAAAAACUGAAAAAAUUAGAUAAAUUUUGAAAAUAGAUAAAAUUAGAUAAAUUAGAAAAUUAGGAUACUGUAGUCUGCACCUUCAAGUGAAACGAGAAUAAUAUUCGCACGUAUGCUUUCCGAAUCCACAAUGUUGUUAUUACUUUUCACGAUCUUGUCAUCAUUUUUCACAAUCUUGUCAGCAAAAGCUCUAAAGUUAGAAAUACCUUACGAGCCAAAUUUUCCUGCCGAGAAACUGAAAAAAUUAGAGGAAUACAAACUUUUGCCGGAUUUAUUGUCCAGGCCACCACAUCUAGAAGCACAGAUAACAUUCCACGAUGGAUCAGUUGCAGACUUUGGCAAUGUAGUCUCGCAGCAACAGAUGCUGAAGGCACCAAAUAUCUCUUGGGCUGCAAAGGUAGACACUGAGCACACGGUGGUAAUCAUGGACUUAGAUCACCAUAUUGACGGGGUGAAAAAUACAUCGAAUGCAUCUGAAAUUCACUAUGCAUACUGGGUUAUAGGAAAUGUGCCGACUUCAUCGAUAGAGAAAGGUUAUGAAAUCGUACCGUACGAGGCUCCGCGAAUAGAUCACGCCGGGCAAAAAGAAUUGCAUAGAAUUUGCUUCCUGGUUUACUUUCAAUAUGAUGGUUCUCGAGACUUCUACACGCCCGACACGGUUGAGAAGCAGAAGGACUAUCGAAUGUGGUUUAACAUACAUAAUCUGACAGAUAAGUACAUAGUGAUAGGACCAAUUGCUAUGAAUUUUGUUCGAGCACCCGUACAAGUCCCAAAGCUCAAUGGACCGAUCAAAGAGACCUGGACUUGAGUUUUAGCACUUUCGAAAGCCGCACCUACGCGUGAUUUGGAUUUUCAUGCUAUGAAAGCAUUCACAGAAUAAUCCAAAUCUUGCUUCAAACAAUUGGAGCACCUCAUGUAAUGUUUAUGGCUUGCACACGUAUUGAAGGCGCUUUCUAUGAAGAGGAUCACUUAAAUCACAUCUUUGAAACUUGUCCACAGUCGAAAGCUAUCACUGCUUAUGACAGGCUGGUUUAUGAUUGAUCAAGUAAAUGAAUCCUAAAGACGUUUAAUGAGUAAGAAUGUAAUUCAAUUAAUGCGUGAAAUUCCUCUUUGCAAUCCUUCCUUCCUAAGCGCUGGUACUACUUACUCACUCUUCUGGCAAAGACUGACAGAUUUCACCCUCCAGAUCCUAAUCGUCUACUUUAAAAUUUUACAAUGAGGCUAGUAAUAACGCCGCUUAGACUUACCCAGGGAAUUCAUUGAGUUCCGAAAGCAACCUCUAUUUUUCGCACAACAGUUGCAAAUAUUUUCCGCGGAAGUUUUGAAUUUCUCCUCAAAAAGCGACUCGUGCGAGGUCUCAAAUCGAGGUGGCUCAUCAAAACUUACAACUUUCGGACUAGUCUGCGUAUUUACACUCUUCAAAUUUUUGAAAUCCUUCUCUCCGCCGGGAAUAUUCACGAGGCAUGUGAAAUCUUGUUUAGACUUCACGUUGUCUCCGAUUUUAUUCCGAUUCUUAAUUUCAGACUCGGAACUUAUAUCAUUUCUUAUCCUUUCUAUGUGAGGUCUGCGUUUCACCUCCCCUCUCUUUCCUUCGCAUGAUUCUAUCGCAAUCAUCGAAGGUUUGUUGUUAGUGAUUACACUGGCUGCUGAUUUUACAAAUCGCGAUUUUAAUCUCUCUAUUCCUCCAUUUCUCUGAGGAUCAGUAAUAUUAUUCAAAUUCUCAGAUGUAAGAUUUUUGGAACUUCGCUUGAUUUUAUGCUUUCGGCGUUUCCUGGUUAUCAGAUUCUCAGCAACUUUAAAAUUUUCAUCAUCCGGGGAAAUCCUCUUAAAAUUUUGGGCCCCAGAAACAUGUUUGAUGCGUUCCUUUUGGGACUUUUCACCGUCUUUAAGAGAUGACGUAAUAUUUUUUUUUCUCUCACUGGACUUAUAUUCCGGAGAGUCUUGAGGCUUCCGGUCCAAAUCACUUUUUACAACCGAUGAGUCAGAUCCGGAAUUUUCUUUCAAAAAUUCAGCUUUUACACCUGCUUCCCGUAACUUGGGCUUAGAUUCCGGAGAAACGUGGAGCUUCCGGCCGAAAUCACUUUUCACAACCGACGAGUCUGAUCCGGAAUUGGCUCUUUUCAAAAAUUCAGCUUUUAUACCUUCUCUCCGGUCCUUGGGCUUAGAUUCCGGAGAAACGUGGGGCUGCCGGUUCAAAUCACUUUUUACAACCGACGAGUCAGAUCCGGAAGUUUCAAUUUUCAAAAAAUCAGCUUUUGAACCUCCUCUCCUUUCUUUAUUUUUCGAUGAAUGCCCAACCUCUUUCCAAGAGCGAAAUUUUAACUGAGUAGAAUCCGAUUGCUUCCGGCUAAAGCUCUCAGAAGAUUGUUCAACAAGCAGGCCAGAUAUCGACUGAUGUGACUGCUCCUCAACAUUUUGGGACACUUGGUCAUGCGUUUGUGUUUGCUCAAGCUCACUAACAUUCUCGAUCGUUGCAUCCGAUACCUUAUGAUUUAUCGAUUUCAAUCGUUUGUCCAGCCGCUCGGAAUCUUGUUUUCGGUCAACGUCACUCAGAAUUUCGAACUCAGAUGAGUAAUCGUAAUUAGUGGCUGCUGAUGGCGAACCUUUUUUAUUCGCACCACGUUUAGGCUCCGAUUUGAUCUCAGACGCCGCCGAUAAGAUGCCGUCCGAAAGAGCGGUGGAUAUAUCCUCGGGGAUAUCACUCACCGGUGACAUUAACUCCUCGAUGAUAUCACUUUCUGUAUUGAAGCCAUUCAUUUUCGUCCCCUCUUUCGAGACAGAUCCGUUACUGUUGCUGAAAGCUUUAAUGUCACUAUUUAAAGACACCAGGGAGCUUUCUUUGCUUGAUUUGUCGCGGUGACCGUUCUGAAAAAAACUUGCCGCCGACGCAAUCUUAUCACCGCGUUUAUUUUUGCCUGAGGCUCCGGAGCCACUGCUAUCGUCAGGCAAGUCAUCGAGGGUUAUCAGGCGUAUAUUUCCCAAAACAUCGAAAGUGUUGGAUUGGUUUGUAUGGGGCCUAGGCUUUUUUAAUAUUUCGGUGAAGUCAACAUGGUUGAAAUUACCUGCGUUACCAUUCGACCGAUUUUCUGGCUGGUAUUUGAUUUUUGGUGUUUCUAUUUCUUCAAAAAAUUCAUUAUUUAUAAGAUUAUCCUCGUGACCGUUUACUACAACUGGCUCAAUUUCCGGUUUCAUCUUGCUAAAAUCGGGGUGUUUGGGCUCGAUUGCCUCAUUUUCUUCCUGAAGGAAUUUAACCACAUUGCCAUUUGUUUCACUUUCGACGUGUGAUUUUGCCUCGGGAAAUUUCGAAUCAUAAGAUAUUGAGUCAUCGGAAGUACUGCUAAUGCUUACGCUCUUUUGCUUAUUUUUUAUGUAUUUAUUUUCGAAGUCUUGGAGUUUUAAAUUGAUUCUGUUUAGCUUCAACAUGUUUAUCUACUUACAAUUUAGCCAAAAAUUAUUGUACCUUCACGAUGCGUUUAAAAAUGUUCGAUCUUUGAGGAGGAAUAUUAGGUACCAUUGAGUGUGGUUAGGAUUCUCCACAUAAACGCAUGUCUGUUAAUAUCCGCUGGCUGAGUUUCGCAGCCGACGAUUCUAAUCUGGAACAAUUAAAGCGUUAAGUUUGCAAGCUCGUA